UGGGGGGUGGCUCAGUUUGGUAGAGCAUGAGACUCUUAAUCUCAGGGUUGUGGGUUUGAGACCCACACUGGGCAAAA
This is a non-coding RNA of Podarcis lilfordi (Lilford's wall lizard), 77 nucleotides long. The record is from the annotation of a GenBank genome assembly. Lineage: Eukaryota; Metazoa; Chordata; Lepidosauria; Squamata; Lacertidae.